GCUAUUAGGGUUAUGACUAUAGAUACACCUGAGAACCCAAAUGAUAUUUCUAUUUCUGAUGCUGAAACACAAUCUGGUGAUGAACAUGAACCUAGUGCUAAUGAUAAUGAUGAUGCUCAACCUAGUAAUGAUAAUGAGUUGGAGAUAGAACAUGUUGUUGAUCAUGAUAACCCACAACCUAAGAAUAAACGUUAUGAUAAGAGAGACUUCAUUGCUAGGAAGCAUGGUAAAGAAAGAGAACCAUGGGUUCACAAACCCAUGCCCUUUCCUCCUAAACCAACCAAGAAAAAGGAUGAUGAGGAUUUUGAGCGCUUUGUUGAAAUGCUUAGACCUGUCUUUUUGCGUAUGCGUUUGACUGAUAUCCUGAAAAUGUCUCCUUAUGCUAAGUAUAUGAUGGAUAUUGUUACAAAUAAAAGAAAGAUACUGGAAGAUGAAAUUUCCAGCAUGCUUGCUAAUUACACUUUCAAG
This 468-nucleotide ribosomal RNA is filed under the name Triticum aestivum (bread wheat). RNAcentral describes it as "partial small subunit ribosomal RNA". Lineage: Eukaryota; Viridiplantae; Streptophyta; Magnoliopsida; Poales; Poaceae. The record is from RNAcentral.